RNAcentral lists this ribosomal RNA (169 nucleotides) under Agaricales sp. RNAcentral describes it as "partial large subunit ribosomal RNA". It matches the Rfam family "Eukaryotic large subunit ribosomal RNA", at positions 99 to 261 of the family's 3401-position model. The record is from RNAcentral. Lineage: Eukaryota; Fungi; Basidiomycota; Agaricomycetes; Agaricales.
CGGGAACAGCUCAAAUUUAAAAUCUGGCGGUCUUUGGCAGCCCGAGUUGUAAUCUAGAGAAGUGUUAUCCGCGCUGGACCGUGUAUAAGUAUCCUGGAAUGGAGCGUCACAGAGGGUGAGAAUCCCGUCUUUGACACGGACUACCAGGGCUUUGUGAUACGCUCUCAAA